ACCUUCGAUUUGUUUUCUUCGGUUUCGGCUGCUUCGUCCUCCUUGUUUGGCACCGAAAAAAGACCCAACCCGCCUAGGAGGCCCGCCCAGCCGCCUGGUGCCCGCCUAGGCGGAUUUUUGGAACACUGCGAUUGACUGAAACAAGUGAAAUUUCUUACAUCAAUCAGCUCACUAAACCACAGCAGGCACCCACUUCCUCCAUCCCUGUUAUCCAAAUUUGCAAAAGCUGUGCAGGAGCAGUUCUUCUUGCACAACAUCUCACAUUGCUUGAGUUCCAUACUUCUGUUAAACCCGGAUACAUCAUUUGCAGUCUGUUUUGUUCACUCUUAAGAGAGACUCAUUGGCUACUGAUGAGAGGCUUAAUGCUCUAAAAGAAGAGGUACGGCCUCUGUGUGCUGCAUCAAGAAAGUACAACUUCGAUCUUCAUGUUUUAGAGUCUAAAGCACAAGAUGCUGAGGAUAGACUCGAAACGGUUGCCUCUCAGGCUCAAAAGAUGGCUGACAUUGUUACAGAACAAUGGAUUCAAAUUCAGCGGCUUGAGCUGGCUCU
This is a non-coding RNA of Prunus avium (sweet cherry), 549 nucleotides long. Lineage: Eukaryota; Viridiplantae; Streptophyta; Magnoliopsida; Rosales; Rosaceae. The record is from RefSeq and is a predicted model, not a curated record.